UUCCUGCUCAUUUCUUAUUAACCAAGCUUUUGAUUCCAUGGGUAUGUCAGGGCACCCUGACCAAGGAUUAUCAAGACCCAGUUGAACCUCACAUAAUGCUUAAGACAUCAGCCUACCGUAUUACAAUCCACAGCUUUAAAAACCUUGGAAAUUAAGGGACUUUACAUGGAAAAGGAUGCCUCAGAGAAGAUUUCCCUCAGCUACACUGUCUUCUGUGAUUUGGCCAACAGCGGGCUCCACCCCAGAAGGGUUGGAAAAUGCAGCGUUGACCCCAACAUGCUUUCUGCCUUUCUGACAAAGGUGCAUUUUAGUCAGACCAGCAAAGGAGCCCAUCCAAAAGGGCAGGCAAAGGCAUUCUCAUGCAGCAGUUGGGAAUACAGAGGGGAUGCUUCAAUCUCAAGGACGCUUUUUGGGUCAUGAGGUGAUGCGGUGAGGAUGAUGGGACAGCGAAAUACAAGAGGCCUGGGUCCCUGCUGACCAUGGAGCCUGCGAGCCAGUCCUGGAUUGCCCACGUGCAGAUGGAUGUUUCACGAAAGAGAAAUAAAGAUCUGUCCCGUUUA
This is a long non-coding RNA of Felis catus (domestic cat), 560 nucleotides long. RefSeq lists it as uncharacterized. The record is from RefSeq and is a predicted model, not a curated record. The transcript has 3 exons. NCBI's taxonomy places the organism in Eukaryota, Metazoa, Chordata, Mammalia, Carnivora, Felidae.